AGGGCGCACGGUGGAUGCCUUGGCACUAGAAGCCGAUGAAGGACGUUACUAACGACGAUAUGCUUUGGGGAGCUGUAAGUAAGCUUUGAUCCAGAGAUUUCCGAAUGGGGAAACCCAGCAUGAGUUAUGUCAUGUUAUCGAUAUGUGAAUACAUAGCAUAUCAGAAGGCACACCCGGAGAACUGAAACAUCUUAGUACCCGGAGGAAGAGAAAGAAAAUUCGAUUCCCUUAGUAGCGGCGAGCGAAACGGGAAGAGCCCAAACCAACAAGCUUGCUUGUUGGGGUUGUAGGACACUCUAUACGGAGUUACAAAGGACGACAUUAGACGAAUCAUCUGGAAAGAUGAAUCAAAGAAGGUAAUAAUCCUGUAGUCGAAAAUGUUGUCUCUCUUGAGUGGAUCCUGAGUACGACGGAGCACGUGAAAUUCCGUCGGAAUCUGGGAGGACCAUCUCCUAAGGCUAAAUACUCUCUAGUGACCGAUAGUGAACCAGUACCGUGAGGGAAAGGUGAAAAGCACCCCGGAAGGGGAGUGAAAUAGAACCUGAAACCGUGUGCUUACAAGUAGUCAGAGCCCGUUAAUGGGUGAUGGCGUGCCUUUUGUAGAAUGAACCGGCGAGUUACGAUUUGAUGCAAGGUUAAGCAGUAAAUGUGGAGCCGUAGCGAAAGCGAGUCUGAAUAGGGCGUUUAGUAUUUGGUCGUAGACCCGAAACCAGGUGAUCUACCCUUGGUCAGGUUGAAGUUCAGGUAACACUGAAUGGAGGACCGAACCGACUUACGUUGAAAAGUGAGCGGAUGAACUGAGGGUAGCGGAGAAAUUCCAAUCGAACCUGGAGAUAGCUGGUUCUCUCCGAAAUAGCUUUAGGGCUAGCCUCAAGUGAUGAUUAUUGGAGGUAGAGCACUGUUUGGACGAGGGGCCCCUCUCGGGUUACCGAAUUCAGACAAACUCCGAAUGCCAAUUAAUUUAACUUGGGAGUCAGAACAUGGGUGAUAAGGUCCGUGUUCGAAAGGGAAACAGCCCAGACCACCAGCUAAGGUCCCAAAAUAUAUGUUAAGUGGAAAAGGAUGUGGCGUUGCCCAGACAACUAGGAUGUUGGCUUAGAAGCAGCCAUCAUUUAAAGAGUGCGUAAUAGCUCACUAGUCGAGUGACACUGCGCCGAAAAUGUACCGGGGCUAAACAUAUUACCGAAGCUGUGGAUUGUCCUUUGGACAAUGGUAGGAGAGCGUUCUAAGGGCGUUGAAGCAUGAUCGUAAGGACAUGUGGAGCGCUUAGAAGUGAGAAUGCCGGUGUGAGUAGCGAAAGACGGGUGAGAAUCCCGUCCACCGAUUGACUAAGGUUUCCAGAGGAAGGCUCGUCCGCUCUGGGUUAGUCGGGUCCUAAGCUGAGGCCGACAGGCGUAGGCGAUGGAUAACAGGUUGAUAUUCCUGUACCACCUAUAAUCGUUUUAAUCGAUGGGGGGACGCAGUAGGAUAGGCGAAGCGUGCGAUUGGAUUGCACGUCUAAGCAGUAAGGCUGAGUAUUAGGCAAAUCCGGUACUCGUUAAGGCUGAGCUGUGAUGGGGAGAAGACAUUGAGUCUUCGAGUCGUUGAUUUCACACUGCCGAGAAAAGCCUCUAGAUAGAAAAUAGGUGCCCGUACCGCAAACCGACACAGGUAGUCAAGAUGAGAAUUCUAAGGUGAGCGAGCGAACUCUCGUUAAGGAACUCGGCAAAAUGACCCCGUAACUUCGGGAGAAGGGGUGCUCUUUAGGGUUAACGCCCAGAAGAGCCGCAGUGAAUAGGCCCAAGCGACUGUUUAUCAAAAACACAGGUCUCUGCUAAACCGUAAGGUGAUGUAUAGGGGCUGACGCCUGCCCGGUGCUGGAAGGUUAAGAGGAGUGGUUAGCUUCUGCGAAGCUACGAAUCGAAGCCCCAGUAAACGGCGGCCGUAACUAUAACGGUCCUAAGGUAGCGAAAUUCCUUGUCGGGUAAGUUCCGACCCGCACGAAAGGCGUAACGAUUUGGGCACUGUCUCAACGAGAGACUCGGUGAAAUCAUAGUACCUGUGAAGAUGCAGGUUACCCGCGACAGGACGGAAAGACCCCGUGGAGCUUUACUGUAGCCUGAUAUUGAAAUUCGGCACAGCUUGUACAGGAUAGGUAGGAGCCUUUGAAACGUGAGCGCUAGCUUACGUGGAGGCGCUGGUGGGAUACUACCCUAGCUGUGUUGGCUUUCUAACCCGCACCACUUAUCGUGGUGGGAGACAGUGUCAGGCGGGCAGUUUGACUGGGGCGGUCGCCUCCUAAAAGG
RNAcentral lists this ribosomal RNA (2285 nucleotides) under Staphylococcus aureus. RNAcentral's name for it is "bacterial LSU rRNA". It matches the Rfam family "Bacterial large subunit ribosomal RNA", at positions 14 to 2297 of the family's 2925-position model. The record is from RNAcentral. Lineage: Bacteria; Bacillati; Bacillota; Bacilli; Caryophanales; Staphylococcaceae.